Molecule: long non-coding RNA, 200 nt
Filed under: Lathyrus oleraceus (garden pea)
Lineage: Eukaryota; Viridiplantae; Streptophyta; Magnoliopsida; Fabales; Fabaceae
Description: Pisum sativum (pea) long non-coding RNA (PSAT_LNC019245)
Source: RNAcentral
AACAAGAUUGUGGGUCUUGCUCCUACAUAUCCUCAGGUGCGAUGAGAAAUUCAAAACGACGUGGUUCUGGGUAAGUCAAAAGAUAUUUUUAGUUUUUUUUGUUAUAGUGCUUGACAAGCUGAUGAAUCGUGCUCCUACAUAUCCCUAGGUGUGAUGGGGAACUCAAAGCUACGUAGUUCUUGGUAGAAAAUGAGUGUUGG